This 447-nucleotide ribosomal RNA is filed under the name uncultured bacterium. RNAcentral's name for it is "bacterial SSU rRNA". It matches the Rfam family "Bacterial small subunit ribosomal RNA", at positions 335 to 799 of the family's 1533-position model. The record is from RNAcentral.
ACUCCUACGGGAGGCAGCAGUAGGGAAUAUUGGACAAUGGGCGAAAGCCUGAUCCAGCAAUGCCGCGUGAGUGAUGAAGGCCUUAGGGUUGUAAAGCUCUUUUACCCGGGAUGAUAAUGACAGUACCGGGAGAAUAAGCUCCGGCUAACUCCGUGCCAGCAGCCGCGGUAAUACGGAGGGAGCUAGCGUUGUUCGGAAUUACUGGGCGUAAAGCGCACGUAGGCGGCUAUUCAAGUCAGAGGUGAAAGCCCGGGGCUCAACCCCGGAACUGCCUUUGAAACUAGAUAGCUUGAAUCCAGGAGAGGUGAGUGGAAUUCCGAGUGUAGAGGUGAAAUUCGUAGAUAUUCGGAAGAACACCAGUGGCGAAGGCGGCUCACUGGACUGGUAUUGACGCUGAGGUGCGAAAGCGUGGGAGCAAACAGGAUUAGAUACCCUGGUAGGAUAGCG